This 522-nucleotide ribosomal RNA is filed under the name uncultured archaeon. RNAcentral's name for it is "bacterial SSU rRNA". It matches the Rfam family "Archaeal small subunit ribosomal RNA", at positions 325 to 850 of the family's 1478-position model. The record is from RNAcentral.
ACGGGGCGCAGCAGGCGCGAAAUCUUCACAAUGUGCGAAAGCACGAUGAGGGGAUCCCAAGUGCUGGCACGUAAGUGUCAGCUGUUUCUUAGUCUAAAAAACUGAGAGAGUAAGGGCUGGGUAAGACGGGUGCCAGCCGCCGCGGUAAUACCUGCAGCUCAAGUGGUGGCCGCUAUUAUUGGGCCUAAAACGUCCGUAGCCUGUUUAGUAAAUGCUUGGGUAAAUUGUGUAGCUUAACUAUACGAAUACCGGGUAGACUGCUAAACUUGGGACCGGGAGAGGCUAGAGGUACUCCUGGGGUAGAGGUGAAAUUCUGUAAUCCUAGGGGGACCACCAGUGGCGAAGGCGUCUAGCUAGAACGGGUCUGACGGUGAGGGACGAAGCCCUGGGGCGCAAACCGGAUUAGAUACCCGGGUAGUCCAGGGUGUAAACGCUGCUUGCUUGAUGUUAGUUGGGCUCCGAGCCCAACUAGUGUCGGAGAGAAGUUGUUAAGCAAGCUGCCUGGAAGUACGUCGCAAGACU